AUGCCGUGCCACAGGCUCUCCAGCACCGAGUUCCACCCGCCGUGCGUCACGAAUCCCCCCACGGCCGGGUGCGCCAGGAUCUCCUUCUGCGGCGCCCACGUCGGCCACACCAGGCCCUUGCCCUCCGUCCUCCGCAAGAACCCCUCCGGGAGCAGCUCCCCCAGGUUCGCGUCCGUCGGGUGCUCCGACCCGUCCGGCGCGGAAGGCGGGCCGCGCAGGACCCACAGGAAGCGGUGGCCGCACCGCUCCAGCGCGGCGGUGAUCUCCACCACCUGGGCCGGCUCGAACCAGCCCAUGCUCCCGAAGCAGAGGAACACCACCGACGCCGGCGGCUGCGCGUCCAGCCAGGCGACGCACUGGUGCGGUGGCUCCGGGGAAUCCUUCUUGCUGGCGCUGCUGCCGAGCGAGAGCACGGAGCCGAUGGGGUACACCGGCGGCGCGGGGCGCCCUGCCACGGCGCGGCCGUCGGCGACGGCCGCGAGGGCCCCCGGCUCUAGCCCGUCCGCUGUGUUGGCGAUGAUCCCCGUGGCGUCCAUGAAGCUGUCGCCGAGGCGCACGAACCACGUGUAG
Molecule: ribosomal RNA, 570 nt
Filed under: Triticum aestivum (bread wheat)
Lineage: Eukaryota; Viridiplantae; Streptophyta; Magnoliopsida; Poales; Poaceae
Description: partial small subunit ribosomal RNA
Source: RNAcentral